CGGACGGGUGAGUAACACGUGGAUAACCUACCUAUAAGACUGGGAUAACUUCGGGAAACCGGAGCUAAUACCGGAUAAUAUAUUGAACCGCAUGGUUCAAUAGUGAAAGACGGUUUUGCUGUCACUUAUAGAUGGAUCCGCGCCGCAUUAGCUAGUUGGUAAGGUAACGGCUUACAAAGGCAACGAUGCGUAGCCGACCUGAGAGGGUGAUCGGCCACACUGGAACUGAGACACGGUCCAGACUCCUACGGGAGGCAGCAGGC
RNAcentral lists this ribosomal RNA (263 nucleotides) under uncultured Staphylococcus sp. Its description in RNAcentral is "partial 16S ribosomal RNA". It matches the Rfam family "Bacterial small subunit ribosomal RNA", at positions 99 to 354 of the family's 1533-position model. Lineage: Bacteria; Bacillati; Bacillota; Bacilli; Caryophanales; Staphylococcaceae. The record is from RNAcentral.